This is a non-coding RNA of Phaseolus vulgaris (common bean), 119 nucleotides long. Lineage: Eukaryota; Viridiplantae; Streptophyta; Magnoliopsida; Fabales; Fabaceae. The record is from Rfam.
AGGUGCGAUCAUACCAGCACUAAUGCACCGGAUCCCAUCAGAACUCCGCAGUCAAGCGUGCUUGGGCGAGAGUAGUACUAGGAUGUGUGACCUCCUGGGAAGUCCUCGUGUUGCACUUC